Molecule: long non-coding RNA, 978 nt
Filed under: Citrus x clementina
Lineage: Eukaryota; Viridiplantae; Streptophyta; Magnoliopsida; Sapindales; Rutaceae
Description: Citrus clementina (C. clementina) long non-coding RNA (CCLE_LNC003603)
Source: RNAcentral
AUUAUAUUUAACAAAUCAUGGAUUAAUUAAUAAUAGGCAUUUUCAGUGAAAUCCAUUGAAGCAUAAUGUGGAUAGUGGCAAGACUUUGUGCUAUGCUGCAAUUAACUGUUGGCUCAUGUGAUUCCCAACUGUAGUAGUAGUUUGAGAAUGUCAAUGGCCUGUGAGGCAAGUAACGGACCUACUUCUGAGAUUGAUAAUGAAUCUGACUACCAAGCCUCGAAGGCAUCCGGCAUGAGUAGAAGACUUUGCCAUUGGGUCCACUCCUGUCAAAAUAACUCGGCCCAAGCCAUUGGUAAACCCCAGUAACAACAAAUUUUGUGGGGAUGGCAAUAGGGAGGGGAGGGGAGGGGAUCAAUCUCUCUAUACCCAUCUCCGAUAUUUUGCGUAUGUCUCGUUUUCUCCCGGUCUCUGUCAGAAUUACUUGAGAGAAUCUUCAUCCCCUCCCCGAAUAAUAACAGGAGAUUCCCGAGGAUUCCUGAGGAUCCUCGAUCCCCGAAUAAUUAAUACAUUUUUUGUUUUCGAUUUUGAGUUAAUCAUAUUAAAAUAAAAAAUUCAAAUAAAAGUAAAGUUUGAAAUAUAUCUUACAUUAAUAUCCAUUACAAAAGUCACAUACAUUAAAUUAGUAAGUAACACAGCAUGUAAAUUAUACAAACUUCUUUUACAAACUAUCGUGAAUAAAUUAAUAGUUUAAUACAAAAUUGUUACAAAUAAAAUCGAAUUUAUAUUCAAAAUUAACUUUUUCAAUGGUGGCGUGGGCACUUUAUAAAAUGUGGACUAUUCCCUUUACAGCACAAUAGUUAAGUCGGAGCAAAUCAAGAGCAAAUAUUAGAUUAGAUAUUAAAAUUGUGAUUCGCUGUGGGCAAUUAUAACAUCUAAAAAUAAAAUAAAAAUAGAUUUAAGUUUAAAACAUUUAAUGAAUACUAAAAUUAAAACAAAAUUUUUGGGCUAAUAGAAUUUACCCGGUUUUUUUAAUGUCCU